GAGUUCUCCCUGAGACUUAGAGUCUCCUGAAGGAACGUUGAAGACGACGACGUUGAUAGGCCGGGUGUGUAAGCGCAGCGAUGCGUUGAGCUAACCGGUACUAAUGAACCGUGAGGCUUAACCUUACAACGCCGAAG
This 137-nucleotide ribosomal RNA is filed under the name Salmonella enterica subsp. enterica serovar Infantis. Its description in RNAcentral is "partial 23S ribosomal RNA". It matches the Rfam family "Bacterial large subunit ribosomal RNA", at positions 2806 to 2925 of the family's 2925-position model. Lineage: Bacteria; Pseudomonadati; Pseudomonadota; Gammaproteobacteria; Enterobacterales; Enterobacteriaceae. RNAcentral also lists the same sequence under 23 other names. The record is from RNAcentral.